UACGUAGGGGGCAAGCGUUGUCCGGAUUUAUUGGGCGUAAAGAGCGUGUAGGCGGCUAGGUAGGUCCGCUGUGAAAACUUGAGGCUCAACCUCAAGAGGUCGGUGGAAACCAUCUGGCUAGAGUCCGGAAGAGGAGAGUGGAAUUCCCGGUGUAGCGGUGAAAUGCGCAGAUAUCAGGAGGAACACCGGUGGCGAAGGCGGAUCUCUGGGCCUGUUCUGACGCUGAGGCGCGAAAGCUAGGGGAGCGAACAGG
Molecule: ribosomal RNA, 253 nt
Filed under: uncultured bacterium
Lineage: Bacteria
Description: partial 16S ribosomal RNA
Rfam family: Bacterial small subunit ribosomal RNA
Source: RNAcentral